UGUAGGAAUGAGCCUGCUCGCGAUGGCGUCGUGUCAGUUAACAAAUAGCUGCCUGAUUCACCGCCAUCGCGAGCAGGCUCACUCCUACA
Molecule: unclassified non-coding RNA, 89 nt
Filed under: Pseudomonas koreensis
Lineage: Bacteria; Pseudomonadati; Pseudomonadota; Gammaproteobacteria; Pseudomonadales; Pseudomonadaceae
Source: RNAcentral